UUCUCAUAUUUGAAAAUGAUCCUGAACAGUAUGGUAUAUUUGAAAUGAGAAAUAUUUCAAAUAUACCAUACUGUUCAGGAUCAUUUUCAAUAUGAGAA
Molecule: non-coding RNA, 98 nt
Organism: Podarcis lilfordi (Lilford's wall lizard)
Lineage: Eukaryota; Metazoa; Chordata; Lepidosauria; Squamata; Lacertidae
Source: the annotation of a GenBank genome assembly